CCAAACAAUUCGUUCAAAAAGAACGAAUCGUUCGCGACCGAUACAACACUACCACAAGCAGCUGGAGAGAGAAGACCACGCUAAACAGAGUGACAAGCUCAACAGGGACAUCGGCAGAACACUUGAGAAGUGAUCAGGAGCGUGGAAAACGCGUCUAUUGAGCUUAAACUGUCUCGGUCAGGUCUUUUUGUGAGACUGGAUUAAAGAUGAGAAGAUUCCGGAAAUUUGAUGGCGAGCUUCCCAGCGUGAAAAGACCAAGAAACUUCAUCCUUCAUGGACAACUCUUCAGUGUGGUAGGACAAUACCAACUGACAGGAUUCCAUACAAACUUUGGAGAAAGAAAUACCUUACACAGGAUUAAGGAAAAAAAAGUGAUCACUAGAGUGAAAGACAAUUUUGUUUAUUAUUUUUGGGCCCAAAUUUUAUUUUCUUAUGCUGUUCUAUUGUUUUGAAUUUCAUUGUUGCUAUUGUUGUAGCACAAAGUAAAAAAGUUUUAAAGUUUUCUUCAUUUUCAGCAGAAGCACAGGAAUUGUAGAGACGAGAGAUUACCAGCUGCAUUGAGUGACCUUAAAGUGCCUGUGACACGUAAAAGCAUGUUUAUUUCAUAAUACACGCGGUAUUUUAUGCUCCUGAAUGAUAUGGACCGCUUGGAUGUGUGUGGAAGCGAUCGCUAUAUUUAUUUAGCUUUUUGAAUCCCGCGCCAGGAAAAUGAGUGACUUCCGGCUUCGGUCUUGAAUUAAGGAGGAGGGCGCUGUGACGUGUACGGUAGAAGACGUCCUCUUCACGCUACAGUGUACUGUUGUGUAUGAGGACGAAGGAUUCAGCUGAUUUUGCGGAUUAAUACGUUUAUUUUUCGCAUCACGCCAGCCAAACGGCUGCAGAAAAAUCAUUCUGUAUGAGGGAGAGGCGUAUGCGCCAUUUUGGAGUUUCAAAAGGUUCCCAUUCACCGUGGAUAUUUACUGUGGGACCAUUGGACUUACGAGGAAGUGAGUAAACAUCUUUUGUACUAUGUCAAAUACGAAUACAGCGAUUACAAAGUAAACACUUCCUUUAAAUGAAGGACUACUUAUGUUUGAUCAUUGAUAGGCAUGUAAAAAGCUCUCCUAAUGCAUUAGCAGCAGCACGUUAGCUGCGUUAGCUCCAGCCACCCUCCUCCGGGGAACGAACUGUAAAUUGCUCUCCGCCGGGCGGUUUGCCGAUCCGCUAAGACAUUCGACAACCGGGUCGUCAUGUCAAAUAAUCCAGGAUAGCUAUGUGUGAUUUUCCGCUUUGAAGACUUCGAAACAUCACUCGGUUCGGGUUAGCAUGUUGGCUAGCUGUCACGCCUUCUGGUUUGUUUACAUUCUCCGAAGCCGGGGAAGGGAAAUGACAUGUCCGAUUUAGGUGUCAUAAAAUAUCGUUCGGGAAGUGCGACAGUAAAGGUGAAGUCGACAGUUUUGACCAUUAUGGAGUAAUUUUGCCAUGUCGUCCUGAAUCAUUUUUAUUAUUUCAUAUUCCAUUCAGCACGAGACUGUUAUUUGUCAUGACCAUGCCAUUUAUUUAGAAAUUGGGGAAAAUUCUUGGAUAAAAAGAGUAUCCUGUAAAGAUAUUGAAGUAAAGAGACAGAAACAAUGACAUUUUGCCGCUCUCUUCGUCGCGUUUUCCUCGUUGUGAAUAGUUCCCCCUCAACGGGCUGACUGGUCCUUCUCAAGCCAUUUAUAUAGCUAUUGGGGAAAAAUACUUGGGUAAAAAGAAUAUCCUGUAAAAAUAUUGGAGUAGAGAGACUGAAACAAUGACAUUUUGCGGCUUUCUUCGUUGCGUUUUCCUCGUUCUGAAUAAUUUCCCCUCAAUGGGCUGAAUAGUAAAAUCGAUGAGCCAAGUCUACCGCUGACGUCAUCCACCUGUUGGGGACGCUAAAGCCCUAUAAUGGUAGGCGUGGCUAACCGGCAGAUUAAAAGACUAAUUUCUCGUCAUCUGUGCUUUGCUAAAUUGUUGUAUAUAGUCGAAUUGUCUCAAAAUACGAUUCUAAUUCACAUAAUAAUGACAUUGUAGACUUUUUUUCUCGUGUCAUAUGCUCUUUAAUGAAUCACUUAAGCAUGACAACCUGCUUAGAUAUGUUUCAAUGGAUUUUAAACAAGCAGUCAACUGAGUGUAAACUUUUUUUUUGGGUCACCCUGUAUGUGGACAUGUUCAUAACUCCUUGAAAAUUGUGUAUAAAAACAGAACCAAAUCAGUUCUUAUUUUUAUGUCUAAAAACACAUAAAAACACUAACAUUUUUUUAACUCAAUAUCAAUUGUGAGUGAGAGUAGGUGCUAAGGAACACUCAAAUUGUGAAGUUGAACAGCGGUUUAAAGUGUUUUCUUCUAGUGUGUUAUGUCGUGAAUGUCUCUCCUGCAAUUUAUGUUGGGUUCCUGAAUAAAAAAAACUUAAAAAUAAAAAAAUAUUAAAAAAAAAAAAAAAAAAAAAACUCCCCAUACCUUUAGCAGGAGUGGAUAUUUCGUUAUUCUCUGCACUGGCUUCAGCAGGUAGGAGUUGACUGAGUGUGCCAGUCCGUGUUUCUGCUGAAUGUUCUGUUGAGGAAGAGAGAAAUGAAUGUAUGACAAUGACGUUUCAUGUCUUGUAGUUUCAUUUUGGAUCACUGUGACGUUUAACUUACAUGAAAAUAGUCCACAGCAUGCUCCAUGAUGAGCCGAGUGGAUUCUUCGUUGUUCUUGCAGUAUUCCACAUACAACUGGAAUUUAUCAGCCUAUUUAAACAAGAAUGCUCAGUAUUACUUACAAUAAUUUUUCAGUAUGGUUAUGGUUACUGAGGAAGCGAUAUACAUACCCAUGUGAUAAAGCACUUUCUGACAUCCUCGGGGAUGUGUUCAUAUUUUUCCAGGUCUUUGAGAAAGAUGCUGAAGAAAGAAAGGACAAGGAACCCAGUUAAUACAUUUCAAAAUAAGAGCGGUGGCCAUUGCUGUUAAAGGUCCGUAAUGUUCCCAAAGAUGACAUGCUUCAGAUUGGCGAUUCCUGGAGGGAUCUCUUCCUCCUUUGUCAACAUCUCCCCCAAGUAAAUCUGCAUGAUACCAAACAAAGAUGAAUUUGUUUAUAGAGAUUGUCUUUUAAAAAAUAAAUAAGUUUGAUAAAAAAAGAAACGUCAAGAAAGGCCUUUUCGGUUUGAAUGAGCUCAUUCAAAAUAAACCAAAAUGAAACAUAAACAAGGCGUGAGUAUGUCUG
Long non-coding RNA from Corythoichthys intestinalis (scribbled pipefish), 3198 nucleotides. RefSeq lists it as uncharacterized. The record is from RefSeq and is a predicted model, not a curated record. NCBI's taxonomy places the organism in Eukaryota, Metazoa, Chordata, Actinopteri, Syngnathiformes, Syngnathidae. The transcript is spliced from 4 exons.